GUUGUGGCUCAGUGGUAGAGUGUUUGUCUGGCAUGCCUGAUGUCCUGGGUUCAACCCCCAGCACA
Molecule: transfer RNA, 65 nt
Filed under: Marmota monax (woodchuck)
Lineage: Eukaryota; Metazoa; Chordata; Mammalia; Rodentia; Sciuridae
Description: tRNA.Ala
Rfam family: tRNA
About the family: Transfer RNA (tRNA) molecules are approximately 80 nucleotides in length. Their secondary structure includes four short double-helical elements and three loops (D, anti-codon, and T loops). Further hydrogen bonds mediate the characteristic L-shaped molecular structure. tRNAs have two regions of fundamental functional importance: the anti-codon, which is responsible for specific mRNA codon recognition, and the 3' end, to which the tRNAs corresponding amino acid is attached (by aminoacyl-tRNA synthetases). tRNAs cope with the degeneracy of the genetic code in two manners: having more than one tRNA (with a specific anti-codon) for a particular amino acid; and 'wobble' base-pairing, i.e. permitting non-standard base-pairing at the 3rd anti-codon position.
Source: RNAcentral